CUGUCAACCCUUAUUGGCCCCUAUUUCGUAGUAAAAGGCUUAAAGCUGUUUGAAACUUUGGAAGAGACCCCUCCUAGCGGCGCGAGACUCAUACAACGACUUUCUCAUCGGACGACGUCGUUUUGAAGUCUCCGAACGACAGACGACUGUACCGAUUGAUCAAGCUCGAGAAUGGCCUCACUGCAUUGCUAGUUCACGAUCCUGAGAUUGGAGAUUCCCAACUCUCCAAGGGCUCUGAGGAAGCUGAGAUGGAAGAAGAAGAAGAAGGAAUGGAGGAGGAGGAGGAUGAGGAAGACGACGAUGAAGAAGACGAAGAUAGUGAAGGAGAGGAUGAAGAUGAAGAUGGACUGAAGAAGAAAAAGGGAGGGGAUUCUCAGACUAAGAAGGCAGCAGCGGCAAUGUGUGUAGGAAUAGGCAGCUUCUCCCUAUCCUCCUGAGGCACCGGGGCUUGCACACUUUCUAGAACACAUGCUCUUUAUGGGGAGUACAGAAUUUCCAGAUGAAAAUGAGUAUGACAGUUACUUGUCCAAGCAUGGAGGAUGCAUACACGGAAGUAGAGCAUACUUGCUACCAUUUUGAAGUGAAACGAGAGUUUCUCAAGGGUGCCUUGACAAGGCAGCAGCAGCAAUGUGCGUUGGAAUAGGCAGCUUUUCUGACCCUAUGGAAGCACAGGGGCUUGCACACUUUCUUGAACAUAUGCUCUUCAUGGGGAGUACAAAGUUUCCGGUUGAAAAUGAGGUAUGCUUGCAUUGAGUACAUAUUCUCUUCUCCUGAUGCUAACCUCAUUAGAGAUGUCAGUGUGAAGAAUAAGACUGACACAAACUCUGUGAUUGAGCUAUAUUUUCAAAUUGAGCGGGCAGUGGGGAUUGAGUCCACCAGAUUGAGAGCAUUAAUAGAUCUGUUGAUGAAGUUCUAGACGAACCAUUUUACGAUCAACUACGGACAAAGGAGCAGCUGGGAUAUGUUGUUCAGUGCAACUGGAAGGUGAUGUUCGGUGUUUUUGGCUUUUAUUUCAUAGUUCAAUCGUUGGAGUACAACCCAAUCUACUUGCAGCGGAGAGUUCCUUUCAAAUACUGCGACAAGGUCUGGAUGAUGAUUCCUUUGAGAAUUACAGAGGUGGGCUAAUGGCAAAGCUAUUGGCGAAAAAUUCAUCCUUUAUAAAUGAAACCAAUCGACUGGAAUCAGAUUAUCCAUGUAAAAGGUGUACAUUUGACUAUGCAAAGAGGGUGGCAGAAGAGCUCAGCAGUCUACAGGAGGAUGCUGUCAACUUUUACAAGACGUACUUGCAACAAUCAUCUCCCAAGCGUCGGAGACUUGCCAUUCGUGUUUGGGUUGCAAAACUGACUCAAAGAAGCUGCAGAAUCGCGACGGGAGUCAGUGAAGGUCAUUGAAGACCUUGAAGCGUUUAAGAUGUCAUCUGUGUUCUAUCCUAACGGUUGUUGAAAAAUUAUGGAUUGUUUCUGAAUUCUGAGUAUUUAUCAGAAACUGAACCAUUAAUAGAAACAAUGAAGCUA
Rosa rugosa (rugosa rose) is the source of this 1514-nucleotide long non-coding RNA. RefSeq lists it as uncharacterized. The record is from RefSeq and is a predicted model, not a curated record. NCBI's taxonomy places the organism in Eukaryota, Viridiplantae, Streptophyta, Magnoliopsida, Rosales, Rosaceae. The transcript is spliced from 10 exons.